AAGUCGUAACAAGGUUUCCGUAGGUGAACCUGCGGAAGGAUCAUUAACUAAGGGCUUGAACGCUUGCUGGCUUGCCAGCUUGCUUCAGCUAAUAUCCCUUAUUACCUUUGCCUAUUUGUACCUUUUGUUCAUCCCUCGGCGGGGACGCCUGCCGCUAGGGACCCCUGUAAACCCUUUUGUAUCAAGUAUUCUUCAGAAAAAAACUACCAAUUAUUUACAACUUUCAACAAUGGAUCUCUUGGUUCUG
This 247-nucleotide unclassified non-coding RNA is filed under the name air metagenome. RNAcentral describes it as "partial contains small subunit ribosomal RNA, internal transcribed spacer 1, and 5.8S ribosomal RNA". The stretch from base 1 to 46 matches the Rfam family "Eukaryotic small subunit ribosomal RNA", at positions 1786 to 1831 of the family's 1831-position model. The record is from RNAcentral.